UACGAAGGGGGCUAGCGUUGUUCGGAAUUACUGGGCGUAAAGCGCGUGUAGGCGGUUUCCCAAGUCGGGUGUGAAAGCCUUGAGCUCAACUCAAGAAAUGCACUCGGUACUGGGUGACUAGAGGACCGGAGAGGAUAGUGGAAUUCCCAGUGUAGUGGUGAAAUACGUAGAGAUUGGGAAGAACACCAGUGGCGAAGGCGGCUAUCUGGACGGUUUCUGACGCUAAGACGCGAAAGCGUGGGGAGCAAACAGG
This 253-nucleotide ribosomal RNA is filed under the name uncultured bacterium. Its description in RNAcentral is "partial 16S ribosomal RNA". It matches the Rfam family "Bacterial small subunit ribosomal RNA", at positions 524 to 776 of the family's 1533-position model. The record is from RNAcentral.